CGUUGAAAAGUGUGCGGAUUAACUUGGGGUGGCGGAGAAAUUCCAAUCGAACUUGGAGAUAGCUGGUUCUCUCCGAAAUAGCUUUAGGGCUAGCCUCAAGUGAUGAUUAUUGGAGGUAGAGCACUGUUUGGACGAGGGGCCCCUCUCGGGUUACCGAAUUCAGACAAACUCCGAAUGCCAAUUAAUUUAACUUGGGAGUCAGAACAUGGGUGAUAAGGUCCGUGUUCGAAAGGGAAACAGCCCAGACCACCAGCUAAGGUCCCAAAAUAUAUGUUAAGUGGAAAAGGAUGUGGCGUUGCCCAGACAACUAGGAUGUUGGCUUAGAAGCAGCCAUCAUUUAAAGAGUGCGUAAUAGCUCACUAGUCGAGUGACACUGCGCCGAAAAUGUACCGGGGCUAAACAUAUUACCGAAGCUGUGGAUUGUCCUUUGGACAAUGGUAGGAGAGCGUUCUAAGGGCGUCGAAGCAUGAUCGCAAGGACAUGUGGAGCGCUUAGAAGUGAGAAUGCCGG
This 510-nucleotide ribosomal RNA is filed under the name Staphylococcus epidermidis. RNAcentral describes it as "bacterial LSU rRNA". It matches the Rfam family "Bacterial large subunit ribosomal RNA", at positions 787 to 1300 of the family's 2925-position model. The record is from RNAcentral. Lineage: Bacteria; Bacillati; Bacillota; Bacilli; Caryophanales; Staphylococcaceae.